UGGGGAAUAUUGGACAAUGGGCGCAAGCCUGAUCCAGCCAUGCCGCGUGAGUGACGAAGGCCUUAGGGUUGUAAAGCUCUUUUUGGCGGGGAAGAUAAUGACGGUACCCGCAGAAUAAGCUCCGGCUAACUUCGUGCCAGCAGCCGCGGUAAUACGAAGGGAGCUAGCGUUGUUCGGAAUCACUGGGCGUAAAGCGCACGUAGGUGGGCAGUUAAGUCAGGGGUGAAAGCCCGAGGCUCAACCUCGGAAUUGCCUCUGAUACUGGCUGUCUAGAGUUCGAGAGAGGUGAGUGGAAUUCCUAGUGUAGAGGUGAAAUUCGUAGAUAUUAGGAAGAACACCGGUGGUGAAGACGGGUUGCUGGGCUGACACUGACGCUGAGACGCGAAAGCGUGGGGAGCAAACAGGAUUAGAUACCCCCGUAGUCCCUGAGCGGGCUGGCAAGGCGCAU
Molecule: ribosomal RNA, 448 nt
Filed under: uncultured bacterium
Lineage: Bacteria
Description: bacterial SSU rRNA
Rfam family: Bacterial small subunit ribosomal RNA
Source: RNAcentral